Molecule: ribosomal RNA, 253 nt
Filed under: uncultured bacterium
Lineage: Bacteria
Description: partial 16S ribosomal RNA
Rfam family: Bacterial small subunit ribosomal RNA
Source: RNAcentral
GACAGAGGGGGCAAGCGUUGCCCGGAAUUACUGGGCGUAAAGGGCGCGUAGGCGGGAUGGCAAGUCGGUCGUGAAAUCCUUCGGCUCAACCGAAGAACGUCGAUCGAUACUGCUGUUCUUGAGGGUUGCAGAGGAGACUGGAAUUCCCGGUGUAGCGGUGAAAUGUGUAGAGAUCGGGAGGAACACCGGUGGCGAAGGCGGGUCUCUGGGCAAUUCCUGACGCUGAGGCGCGAAAGCGUGGGGAGCAAACGGG